UCCUCCUGACUUAAGUCACUCGGAGACGACACCAAAUAAGAAGGGGAAAAGAACGGGAGGCGAUUGCCGCAAACCCCUCUCUCUCUCUCUCUCUCGCUCUCGCUCUCGCUCUCCCGAACCCCAACCCGCAUUGCCCUCUUCGAUCCUCGAUCGCUCCCUGGCUUCCCUUUCGGAGGCCGUCCGAUCCUCUCCCUGGAGUCCGAGAUCGCCGUUGGUAACCGGAGCUUCGGAUGGUGCGGGCUGCAGUAGGCGGUGCGGUGAUGGGAUGUCGAGACGUCGAAUCGCGCCCCUAGCUCCUGCUGGUUUCGUUUCGGGAAGCGUAGGAGGAUCGUCUCGUCAUGUCACUGGGACAGCGGAAUGACGCAGAUGAGGAUUGAUCGAUCUGAAUCUGCUCGUCUUUAGCUUCUUCAAAGGUGAAUCUGAGGCCGAGCGCUUCGGGUUUUGUUUUGGUCGUAGUCUCUGGAUCUAGACGUAGUGAAAUGUAGAUUGCGGGCAUGGAGCAAGCACCUCUGUCAGAGGACCGAGAGAGGGAGUUGAAUAUUUUUCAGGUGGUUCGAUUGAUUCAAGAAAGUGGAGUGUUCUAGAUCGAGUUUAUGGAGUCUCGAAUGGAUCAGUACGAGAUCCUGGAGCAGAUUGGGCGAGGAGCCUUUGGUGCCGCAAUUCUGGUAAACCAUAAGGUGGAGAAGAAAAAGUAUGUUAUGAAGAAAAUCCGUCUUGCAAGGCAAACAGAGCGGUGCCGGAGGUCUGCUCAUCAAGAGAUGGCUCUGAUUGCACGACUUCAACACCCUUUUACUGUUGAGUUCAAGGAAGCUUGGGUGGAGAAGGGCUGUUAUGUUUGCAUCGUCACGGGUUAUUGUGAAGGUGGAGACAUGGCUGAGUUGAUGAAGAGAUCAAACGGAGCAUACUUUCCAGAGGAGAAAUUGCUGAAAUGGUUUACUCAACUGCUAUUAGCUGUUGAGUAUUUGCAUUCCAACUUCGUUUUGCAUCGAGACAUCAAGUGCUCAAAUAUAUUUUUGACCAAGGAUCAGGAUGUUCGCCUUGGGGACUUUGGACUUGCUAAAACUUUAAAAGCAGAUGAUUUGGCUUCUUCUGUUGUUGGAACCCCCAACUAUAUGUGCCCGGAGCUUCUUGCAGAUAUUCCUUAUGGGUUUAAAUCAGACAUUUGGUCUCUAGGGUGCUGUAUGUAUGAGAUGGCUGCUCAUCGACCUGCUUUUAAAGCUUUUGAUAUGGCUGGACUGAUUACUAAGAUUAACCGGUCAUCUAUUGGUCCUUUACCUGCAUGUUAUUCUUCUUCCUUGAAAACUCUUAUCAAAAGCAUGCUGAGGAAGAACCCAGAGAAUCGGCCAAGUGCAUCUGAAAUUUUACGUCAUCCAUGUUUGCAACCAUAUGUCAGUCAACAACGUCCAUGCCAUGAUCCUUCAAAUGUGUCACAAUCACCAGAAAAGCCCAUCUCAAUUUUGCGAGGUCAGAGUAAUAUGUCCGAAAGCCAAAGUAGCAGUAUUUCAGGCAGUGAUAAGGAGAGUUCACAGUCGAGCAACAAAUAUGCAUCAGAACUGUCAAUGAAGGGGGACCAAAAGGCAAUUGAACCAGACACUGCUUCAACUGAUGAUGGGGUAGCUUCUGAUUAUAACAGUAAUUCCCCUUUUUAUGCUAGGGGUGGUACUGAAAUCUCUGAAAUUGUUAAAGAGAGACAAGAUUCAUCAAAAGUUUUACAAGUUGAUGAGCAACAAAAUAUUGAGUCCAGGCAACCAAGAAUUUCCAAAAAUAUGCUGACCGCUUUUAAAGAGGGUAUUAAAGCUAGAGAAAGCAGUUCUCCUGUGAGAGCAAGUCGAGUAAAAGUAGUUGCUGCAUCCAACCAUAGGAGUAGUACAGAGCAAUCACCUAAGGUGUCCAAACCCACUGGUGCCAGUUUUUCGAAGCCAAAGCCUAAUGCAGAAGCGCCACCUGAUGAACCAAUCAAGAACAUUUGUGAUUCUGAAAAACAAGUGCAAGGUUUGCAGAGCUUUAAGCACCUGUCACCUGUAUCUGAAUCCUCUCCCAAAACUAAAGCCAGAUAUGAUGAGGCUUCACGAACUGAUCCUGUUAAGCUUAUUCUGGAAGACAAUGUUCCUCCUAAGAGGAGGCAAAGGAUAUUACCACCCAGCCUCACCAGAAGGCCAACACUCCCUGCUCCAAACGCUGCUGGAGUUGACAAUCCAAGUCCUGUGGAUAACGGGAACAAGAGUCCUUCGAACAAAUUAACUCAGGAGCCAGGUGUUAGUCCAAACAAAAAAAUCUACAGCCCCAGGCAAGUCAUCAGCCUGAUGGAAGAUUCAGAGAUGAUUCCUAUUAGUCCUUCUAAAGGAAUGCAGAUUAAUAAAGAUAAUUUAGAGGUGCCACCUGUUCAUACUGAAGAUUAUCUGAUGGCAAGGGUUAAGGAGCAGAGCAAAUUGUACUCAAACUGCACGGAUGAUUGUGCUGAUGAAUCUUCACCUGCUAAAAUUUCAGAAUCCAGUCCGACAAAAUGUUCCUCUUGCACACAUUCAAGGCUUGAUUAUUCAUUUGCAGAUAGUCAAGAGCAUGACAGUGGACCUUUUCCAAACUUAGAGAUCAAUACAUUGGACUUACAGCAGAGCACUAUAAAUGAUAAAAUUACCUCCAGUUCAGUUUUAGAGCUGUCCUUAUCCGGAACGGAACAAGAGUUUGUUUUCAAAGAUGAUAUUUCUAUGAGCAAGUCUAACCAAAAUCCAAUUGUGAAACAAGUUGGUGAUGACAAGUUUAUAGUCAGAGAGCUUCUUUCAUCCAUAAAAGACAUUGCACCUUUUGUUCCAGCAUCAUCAAAGAACAUACCUGCGGAGAAGGCGCCAAUCACAAAUCAGAUCUUGGAAAGGCCAGAAGCACCUCAUAUAACCCCAGCUUUUGAAGAUGUCAUUCAUGUUAUAAGGCAUAGCAGCUUCCGCGUUGGCAGUGACCAGCCUGUGCCGGAGAGCAUGGAUAAAGGCAUCCAAAACAUGGAUCCUGGGAGACUCUUAAAUGUGGUGGACGAGGUGGAUAUGAGAAACAUCUCACAGAACCUAGAACCACCAAGAUUUGUUGAUUCUGUGCGUAUUAAAUCGAAUGUUUCAGAAAGCAGCAUCAUCAAGGAGAAACCAAACAGCUCAGAAUCUGUGAGACCAACGUCUACAAACGUUGGAUCUGUUUCGUCGGAGUCAUUGCUUAGGUCAAAGGAAGAAGGAGGUUUCGCUAAAGAAACAUUAGAUGUAAAAUCUUUUAGGCAGAGAGCAGAGGCACUCGAAGGUUUGUUAGAGCUCUCGGCAGAUCUUCUGCAGCACAAUAGGUUGGAGGAACUUGCUGUAGUUCUAAGGCCAUUCGGGAAGUAUAAGGUGUCUCCUAGAGAAACUGCAAUCUGGUUAGCAAAGAGCUUCAAGGAGAUGAUGAGUGAGGACACCAACUGCAAAUAAUGAGGAUUCACAUCAUUCUUUUUUGGAUUACUUUUCUCUUCUCUCUCGUUGCUUGGUGGAUUGGACCAUGUCAAGCCACCGAUGGAGUACCAAUCAUCUCAACUUCAUGUGGUGGGGAGUCCAGCUGCUACCAAGUCCCAAUCAUCUCAACUUCAUGUGGUGAGGAGUCCAGCUGCCACCAGCAAAAGGUUUUUGACCUUCUGAAGUCAAGCUAAAGGUAUCGACAGGAUUGCUCACCUGAAUGAUACACACUGAAUUAUCUUGGGCAGCAAUGCAUGGAAGAAACAUUUGCAAGAAUUUGGCCCUUCCAAGAUUUUACUGCAGGUAAGAGAUUUCUUGAGUUUUUCUUGAAUUUGAAAAGAUGCUGUUCCACGAUAAAUCACUUCUAGACUUUUUUUUUUUUUUUGGAUAUACAGGUAUAUCGAUCCAUACUACUGCUCAGUAUCAUUGAAACAAAUAAUAAUGUAAAUAUAAAUACACUAUAUCUGUCCUAGUAUCAAGUUAUAGAUUUUGA
Molecule: RNA transcript, 3954 nt
Organism: Musa acuminata AAA Group (dessert banana)
Lineage: Eukaryota; Viridiplantae; Streptophyta; Magnoliopsida; Zingiberales; Musaceae
Gene name: serine/threonine-protein kinase Nek5-like
Exons: 15
Source: RefSeq, a predicted model, not a curated record